CUUUGCUGCAGGAGCCAGGCCUGGUGAGUGAGGGUCUUGGGGGCUGAGCAGUGGUGGCUGUGCAAGCUGCAGGGUGUGCUGUUGCCUUUAGGUCACUUUGGGGCUGUGGAUGAACUACAGAGAGAAAUUGGAUGAGAAGCUGGAAGCCAGAGCUGAUACAGCUAAUACUGAACUGGUCCACCUCUAAUGAUUAAUGUGUUACAAACAAGUAAAAGACUCAACCUUUGGAGAAUCCUUACCCACUUCCCUUCCUGAAAGCAGUAUUGGUGCCAUCCUUUGGCAAACCUUGGAAUAUGAAAAACUGCAAGAGUUGCAGCAGUUUUGAGUGGAAUCGAAUUAAACAAAAGACGACUUUGGACAAGUGAGAGAACUGAUUCUUCAUCCAAAUAAUGGCAUCUGGACUCGGAUGAAAAAGGCUCCAGAUUUUUCAUCAUAAGAAGGAAAGUUUAAGAUUUUAUUUUUAGUACUUGUUUUAGCAGUAUUUGAUAUUUCACUCUAUCUUUUGUCAUAUGCAUGAUAACUAUACAGAAUAUACAGAGAAUAUGUUAGAAUAAUUAGUAUUUUUUUCUACUACAGUAUUCAAAGCCAUAUUUAUGAUAUGAUUAUAGCAUCCUCAUUGAGAUGGCAGGAUGUUCAA
Molecule: long non-coding RNA, 637 nt
Filed under: Apteryx rowi (Okarito brown kiwi)
Lineage: Eukaryota; Metazoa; Chordata; Aves; Apterygiformes; Apterygidae
Description: lncRNA (ENSARWG00000002861.1)
Source: RNAcentral